CCUAACAUGAUCAUCUCACUAUAAAAUAGCUAUAAUUCCUGGAGGACAUUUAUCAGUUCUAGAAAGUUCUGUUCUAAUACUGUAUACUGCAAGGUUUUUCUCCAGAAUUUAUGUAUAGAAGGGUCUUUUGCUUGAACAACUGGCCACAAGAAAAUAUAUGUGUAAAAAGGUGGAAUGGAAUGACAAGGAGUUUCUGUUGUUUUUGUGUUUUCAUACCAGGCAAAACAUUUGGGAAAAGUCCAUAUGACAUUUCUUGGGAAGCUAUGAUUCUAUAUAUCUUCUUUUAUAAUACUUAUGUCUUAACACUUCUCUCAUUGUAAAGAGAAAAUUAUGUGAACAGUUGAGAUGUUGGGUGUCUGUCAGUUUGGGCAUCUGUAACAAAUUAUCAUUGACUGAGUGGCUUAAAACACAUAUAUGUCUCACAGGUUGGGGAGCCUUAGAUCAAAGCACUACCAUGUCUGGUAUCUCUCCUGGCUUACAGAUGGCCAUGUAUUCUCAUAUGGGAGAGAGAGACCGAGAGAGGAAGAGAGAGGACAAAAGACUGUGCAAGCUCAUCUGUCUCUUAUGAGGACACUAAUCCAAUUCAUGAGAGCUCCACUAAUUGCCAUGACCUAACUGCCUCGCAAAGGUUCUACCUCCUAAUACCAUCACAUUGGAGGUUAGGGUUGCAAUAUAUGGAUUUGAAGGGUGGGAGCCCAAAUAUUCAGUCUACCACAGAUGGUAACCAAAUAAAAAAUGUUCAUUAUUACUACAAGCUACAAGAUUUUUCUACAACUAUCAAAAAAUUUGUUCCAAAACUACUGUGACAAUUUCUUCAUCUAAUCAUAGGGUAAAGGAGCUGAAGAAAAAAAAAGCUGUUCUUUGGCUGAAGAUAGAAACAGAAAAGAAAAGAAAAAAAGAAGAAAAAGAAAGAAAAGAAAAAAGAAAAAAGAAAAGAAAAAGAAAAAAAAGAAAAGAAAAGAAAAAAAGAAAAGAAAAGAAAAAAAGAAAGAAAGAAAAGAAAAGAAAAGAAGAGAAAAGAAAAGAAAAGAAGAAAAGAGUAUUCUCCAGUGAAGAAAGCAUUAAUUGCCCUGCAAAGGAAGAGAUACAGGAGCUAAUGCCUCACUCCAUAAAUGGUCGGUCUUUCUACAAAAGGAUUUUUCACAUGGUUUACUAACAUCGUAGCUUCCACUAUUGGUAAGUACAUUUGACUCUUGGUUAAUUCAAAUGUUGGGUAUAUUGGGAGUGCAUGAAGGGGGCAAAGAGGUGGAAGAAUGGA
This 1258-nucleotide long non-coding RNA is filed under the name Vulpes vulpes (red fox). Its description in RNAcentral is "lncRNA (ENSVVUG00000001236.1)". Lineage: Eukaryota; Metazoa; Chordata; Mammalia; Carnivora; Canidae. The record is from RNAcentral.